CAUUUUCUUUCUUUCUCUUCUUCAUUCUUCUUUCUCCUUCUCUUUCUUUUUCCCUAUUUCUUCUUCAGUUAACGAUUUCGAGAAUCAGUUCAUGAUUCUGAGUUGAUGUAAAUCUGGCGGAGAUUGAGGUUAGAUGAUAGUGAUGUUGUCGUGAUUGUUGUUGAUUCAAAAUCGUCGGAGGAAGUAGAUCAGUGAGUUAGGGUUUCUGCAUGUUGUAUUGGAAUUUGAAUUGAUUAAAGAUUGAGAAGAUUUAUAUAGAAACUGAAGAUGGGUUUCGAGAGCUUGAGUAGAAGAAGAAGAUUGUUACGUUAAUUUGAAGAUUAGGUUUCAGAGAAGAAAAGUAAUUCGAUAAUUAGGGUUUGAGUGGAAUUGAGAUGUAAAUCGUGUUGCUGUUAGAUGAAGAAAAGAAGGGUUGUGGUUGAAUUGAAGUUCUGAAAUCGUUUUGGAGAUGAUCUGAGACUUGGGGUUUCUGAAGUUGAAUUCGAGAAUUCGAUUAAGGGUGAACAAGGAGAAGUUAGAAGAUGGGUUUUGUUGUUAUUCGAUGAUUGAUGGAAGCUGUGGUAGUUUGAUGAUUGAAUCAAUGAAUUAGGGUUUGUAAAGCAAAGUCAGUGAAGAUGAAUCUGAAGGUUUGAAAGAUGGAGAGGAUGGUCUAGGAGAUUCAUUAUAAUGGGUUAGAUAGGGUUUAAGGGAUAAGGUUGUAGAACAACAUGAAAGCAACAGUUAGAGUUUGAGGUUGUGAAUUAGAAGAGCAGAGAGGAGCAAAUAAGGGUGAUGUUGUUGUUGUAGAUGUUGUUGCUAACAGAUGGGAUUGAGGAAAAAGGUAAUCAAGGUUUAUUUGCUUAAGUUCAUUUAAUUUGGUUUAAUUGAUGAUAUCUGGAAUGGGUAUUGAAUUAAUGUUGGUUAUAAUUGGAGUGUUUUGAAUUGGUUGUAAUUGAGUUGUUUUGAGGAAGAUGGUUUGUGAAGCAGUUGGGUUUUGGUUCAUAUGAUGGAGAUAUUAUGCUUUAAGUGUAAUUGUUAGAGUUCUUAAAAUGUUUUCUUGUGGCUGUGUGUUAAGGAAUACAAGUUUGGCUGGAGGUUGAGUAUGGUUUAGAGAUUGUAAGGUUUGAAUUACAAUUGCAGGACUAGUAAUAUUAAUGGUGCUGAUGCAGGGUGGAUGUAAUUGUGUGAGUGGUGAUGGUGUUACAGUUCAUGGAGUUGCAGCCUCAUUGAAAUGGGUGUAUGAACUGUUGUAGGUGCAAGGGAGAAUUAAGUCUGGGUGUGUGUGAAAUCGGAACUUGAAAUUGGUAAUGUAAAUUGAAUUGGAAGUGAACGUGAAUAAAUGUGAUACAACUACUUGUGCAGGCAGUGUGUACAGGAUAUGGUUUUGUGUAAUGGCAAUUGAAGGUGGAGUUGGUAUUUGCAGCUGUGGAGGUUAUAUGAAUGAGUAGCUGCAAUGGAUAGUUAAUAAGGAGUGGCAUUCUUAGUUAAAUGGUUUUGAGUUGCACAUAAUGUGAACUGGUGGUGAUUAUAGAGUUACAAUUGGUGUUGGUAUUAAAGCUUGGAACUGCUAGGUUGCAGGUAAAGCUUAAAUUACUGAUGUUUUCAUGAAGUAAAGGUGUUGAUUAAUGGCAGUGAGAGUUUAAUUUGUGUUGCAACUUAAGCAACAUAGGGAUUAGUUAUAACUCUUAGAUUUUGUAUGUGCUGAUAGGAUGUGCAAGCUGAAGGAGAUUGUAAUGCUAUCAUGGCAGUGAUCUUAGUGAAAGGCUGCAAAUGCAGAUCAAGUGGAUCGUGGAUCUCGAGGUAGGCGUGGUUUGUCAUCAAAAGAGGAUACGGCUCCUUCAUUUACUGCUGAGGGACGAGUCACCAUAUUAUUAUCCGGGUGCGGGACGAGUCACCAUAUUAUUAUCUAGGUGCGGGGCGAGUCACCAUAUUAUUACAUUGUUUAGAAGGAAUUAGUUCCAUAUACAUGAUUGUUUACUUCUGUGAAAUUGGUUGCGUUUUUUAGGGAAAACAAGAAUUGUUUUCAAAUCAUUUCCAAUAACUGCAUGAAAGAUAAAUGUUAUUCCUUCGAGGCACCCAUUUUAGUGAUGAUGUGCUCACCCAUUUCCAAUUUCAGAGUCAGAUCAGAGAUGCGCAACGGAAGCUUCGAGGAGUUGAGUCUGUUAGUUGGUUAACUCCUGAUAUGUUUAUUAUGUUGUAUAUUCUCUUGUAAACGAAAUGACUAUUUUAUAUGUAUCAUUUGAGAGGAUUUCUAUAUGUAUAUAUUUCAGAGCGGGGCUAGUUUUGGGUUAAGUUUUGUAGCAGAUUUAAAUGAUUUAGAUUCUUAAUGCCUCUUUCUUUAGUUAAUCUCUUAUAGUCAGCUGCUAGCUUUGGGGGUGCUACAAUAAUAAUUUAUAUCAGCUGAUUCUGGGCAAAGAAAACGCCUAUUUUUUUA
Papaver somniferum (opium poppy) is the source of this 2413-nucleotide long non-coding RNA. RefSeq lists it as uncharacterized. The record is from RefSeq and is a predicted model, not a curated record. The transcript is spliced from 3 exons. NCBI's taxonomy places the organism in Eukaryota, Viridiplantae, Streptophyta, Magnoliopsida, Ranunculales, Papaveraceae.